UGUGCCAGCAGCCGCGGUAAUACGGAGGGUGCGAGCGUUAAUCGGAAUAACUGGGCGUAAAGGGCACGCAGGCGGUGACUUAAGUGAGGUGUGAAAGCCCCGGGCUUAACCUGGGAAUUGCAUUUCAUACUGGGUCGCUAGAGUACUUUAGGGAGGGGUAGAAUUCCACGUGUAGCGGUGAAAUGCGUAGAGAUGUGGAGGAAUACCGAAGGCGAAGGCAGCCCCUUGGGAAUGUACUGACGCUCAUGUGCGAAAGCGUGGGGAGCAAACAGGAUUAGAU
This 280-nucleotide ribosomal RNA is filed under the name uncultured Pasteurellales bacterium. RNAcentral's name for it is "partial 16S ribosomal RNA". It matches the Rfam family "Bacterial small subunit ribosomal RNA", at positions 504 to 783 of the family's 1533-position model. The record is from RNAcentral. Lineage: Bacteria; Pseudomonadati; Pseudomonadota; Gammaproteobacteria; Pasteurellales.